This 497-nucleotide ribosomal RNA is filed under the name uncultured bacterium. RNAcentral describes it as "partial 16S ribosomal RNA". It matches the Rfam family "Bacterial small subunit ribosomal RNA", at positions 28 to 507 of the family's 1533-position model. The record is from RNAcentral.
GACGAACGCUGGCGGCGUGCCUAAUACAUGCAAGUUGAGCGCUGAAGGUUGGUACUUGUUCCAACUGGAUGAGCAGCGAACGGGUGAGUAACGCGUGGGGAAUCUGCCUUUGAGUGGGGGACAACAUUUGGAAACGAAUGCUAAUACCGCAUAAAAACUUUAAACACAAGCUUUAAGUUUGAAAGAUGCAAUUGCAUCACUCAAAGAUGAUCCCGCUUUGUAUUAGCUAGUUGGUGAGGUAAAGGCUCACCAAGGCGAUGAUACAUAGCCGACCUGAGAGGGUGAUCGGACACAUAGAGAGUGAGACACGGCCCAACCUCCUACGGGAGGCAGCAGUAGGGAAUCUUCAGCAAUGGACGAAAGUCUGACCGAGCAACGCCGCGUGAGUGAAGAAUGGUUUCGGAUCGUAAAACUCUGUUGGUAGAGAAGAACGUUGGUGAGAGUGGAAAGCUCAUCAAGUGACGGUAACUACCCAGAAAGCGACGGCCAACUACGUG